Molecule: ribosomal RNA, 463 nt
Filed under: uncultured bacterium
Lineage: Bacteria
Description: partial 16S ribosomal RNA
Rfam family: Bacterial small subunit ribosomal RNA
Source: RNAcentral
GAUGAACGCUGACAGAAUGCUUAACACAUGCAAGUCUUUGGCGAAGCUGUGCUUGCACCGCCUAGCCAAGGCGGACGGGUGAGUAACGCGUAAGGAACUUGCCCUGCAGUCAGGGAUAACAGACGGAAACGACUGAUAAGACCUGGUAAAGUCAGGCGGACUCAUGUCCAGCCUGAUGAAAAGAGAUGCUGCAGGAGAGCCUUGCGUCCUAUUAGCUUGUUGGUGGGGUAACGGCCCACCAAGGCGAUGAUAGGUAGCCGGCCUGAGAGGGUGGACGGCCACAAGGGGACUGAGAGACGGCCCUUACGCCUACGGGAGGCAGCAGUGGGGAAUAUUGGACAAUGGGGGCAACCCUGAUCCAGCAAUUCUGUGUGCACGAUGAAGGUUUUCGGAUUGUAAAGUGCUUUCAGCAGGGAAGAAAAAAAUGACGGUACCUGCAGAAGAAGCGACGGCUAAAUACGUG